RNAcentral lists this non-coding RNA (32 nucleotides) under Mus musculus (house mouse). The record is from RNAcentral. Lineage: Eukaryota; Metazoa; Chordata; Mammalia; Rodentia; Muridae.
UGCUCUUGAAGCACCUGUGCCAGAAUUUCUCU